This 24-nucleotide non-coding RNA is filed under the name Arabidopsis thaliana (thale cress). Lineage: Eukaryota; Viridiplantae; Streptophyta; Magnoliopsida; Brassicales; Brassicaceae. The record is from RNAcentral.
AGCACGCCAAAUAUAGUGGAGUAC